AUUAGGACUUACAGUGAGGGACCUGAACAACUCCCCUCUUGUUCCUAGCAGCCUGCUCUAUGAAGCGAUCUCAGCCAGAGUCCAAGCCCCUGGGAGCGGAGCACCUAACGCGCUGGAAUGGGCAGGUUACUGAGCAUCAUCAGUCAGGCUUACAGCUGUUGAGGCUAAACCUGCUUUUAGGGUUUGCAUCCAGGAAGGUUUGCAGAACAGCCAGUGUGCUAAAGUAUCCUACCCUCUUCAUAAUGAAGUCCUUCAGCUGCACCACGCCCUGGCUCACAAUAGGCUGGAGUGGUUCCAUCCACGACUCUUUGGCCCUGGAGACCGGUGUGUCCAUAUUGCCUAUGUUUUGGACCGCCUAGGGGUGACAGCAAGAACAAUAGGGCUUUGGGGAGACAACAGCUGCCUACUUCAACCUAGAGAUGGAAGCUGAGGCCUUUCGAGGUCCCACAGGGGAACCAGGGAUGCAUGGAUCGUGGCAUUUUGAGUCUUUGGACACCUGGCCCACACCUUGGCCAGCAGAAGCAGCGUGCGGCUGGUGCGGGCAUCUGCAUGCCGCUCUCGCAGGUGGA
This 569-nucleotide long non-coding RNA is filed under the name Mus pahari (shrew mouse). RNAcentral's name for it is "predicted gene 15701 (MGP_PahariEiJ_G0003204.1)". The record is from RNAcentral. Lineage: Eukaryota; Metazoa; Chordata; Mammalia; Rodentia; Muridae.